RNAcentral lists this ribosomal RNA (274 nucleotides) under uncultured bacterium. Its description in RNAcentral is "partial 16S ribosomal RNA". It matches the Rfam family "Bacterial small subunit ribosomal RNA", at positions 523 to 796 of the family's 1533-position model. The record is from RNAcentral.
CUACGGAGGGUGCAAGCGUUACUCGGAAUCACUGGGCGUAAAGCGCGCGCAGGCGGGCUGAUAAGUUGGAUGUGAAAGCCUACGGCUCAACCGUAGAACUGCAUCCAAAACUGUCAGUCUAGAGUGUGGGAGAGGAAGAUGGAAUUAGUUGUGUAGGGGUAAAAUCCGUAGAGAUAACUAGGAAUACCAAAAGCGAAGGCAAUCUUCUGGAACACUUCUGACGCUGAGGCGCGAAAGCGUGGGGAGCAAACAGGAUUAGAUACCCCAGUAGUCC